UACGGAGGAUCCGAGCGUUAUCCGGAAUUAUUGGGCGUAAAGAGCUCGUAGGCGGUUUGUCGCGUCUGCUGUGAAAGCCCGGGGCUCAACCCCGGGUGUGCAGUGGGUACGGGCAGGCUGGAGUGCAGUAGGGGAGACUGGAAUUCCUGGUGUAGCGGUGAAAUGCGCAGAUAUCAGGAGGAACACCGAUGGCGAAGGCAGGUCUCUGGGCUGUUACUGACACUGAGAAGCGAAAGCAUGGGGAGCGAACAG
RNAcentral lists this ribosomal RNA (252 nucleotides) under uncultured bacterium. Its description in RNAcentral is "partial 16S ribosomal RNA". It matches the Rfam family "Bacterial small subunit ribosomal RNA", at positions 524 to 775 of the family's 1533-position model. The record is from RNAcentral.